GAUGAACGCUAGCUACAGGCUUAACACAUGCAAGUCGAGGGGCAGCAUGGUCUUAGCUUGCUAAGGCCGAUGGCGACCGGCGCACGGGUGAGUAACACGUAUCCAACCUGCCGUCUACUCUUGGACAGCCUUCUGAAAGGAAGAUUAAUACAAGAUGGCAUCAUGAGUCCACAUGUUCACAUGAUUAAAGGUAUUCCGGUAGACGAUGGGGAUGCGUUCCAUUAGAUAGUAGGCGGGGUAACGGCCCACCUAGUCUUCGAUGGAUAGGGGUUCUGAGAAGAAAGUCCCCCACAUUGGAACUGAGACACGGUCCAAACUCCUACGGGAGGCAGCAGUGAGGAAUAUUGGUCAAUGGGCGAGAGCCUGAACCAGCCAAGUAGCGUGAAGGAUGACUGCCCUAUGGGUUGUAAACUUCUUUUAUAAAGGAAUAAAGUCGGGUAUGGAUACCCGUUUGCAUGUACUUUAUGAAUAAGGAUCGGCUAACUCCGUGCCAGCAGCCGCGGUAAUACGGAGGAUCCGAGCGUUAUCCGGAUUUAUUGGGUUUAAAGGGAGCGUAGAUGGAUGUUUAAGUCAGUUGUGAAAGUUUGCGGCUCAACCGUAAAAUUGCAGUUGAUACUGGAUAUCUUGAGUGCAGUUGAGGCAGGCGGAAUUCGUGGUGUAGCGGUGAAAUGCUUAGAUAUCACGAAGAACUCCGAUUGCGAAGGCAGCCUGCUAAGCUGCAACUGACAUUGAGGCUCGAAAGUGUGGGUAUCAAACAGGAUUAGAUACCCUGGUAGUCCACACGGUAAACGAUGAAUACUCGCUGUUUGCGAUAUACAGCAAGCGGCCAAGCGAAAGCGUUAAGUAUUCCACCUGGGGAGUACGCCGGCAACGGUGAAACUCAAAGGAAUUGACGGGGGCCCGCACAAGCGGAGGAACAUGUGGUUUAAUUCGAUGAUACGCGAGGAACCUUACCCGGGCUUAAAUUGCAGAUGAAUUACGGUGAAAGCCGUAAGCCGCAAGGCAUCUGUGAAGGUGCUGCAUGGUUGUCGUCAGCUCGUGCCGUGAGGUGUCGGCUUAAGUGCCAUAACGAGCGCAACCCUUGUUGUCAGUUACUAACAGGUUCCGCUGAGGACUCUGACAAGACUGCCAUCGUAAGAUGUGAGGAAGGUGGGGAUGACGUCAAAUCAGCGCGGCCCUUACGUCCGGGGCUACACACGUGUUACAAUGGGGGGUACAGAGGGCCGCUACCACGCGAGUGGAUGCCAAUCCCAAAAACCUCUCUCAGUUCGGACUGGAGUCUGCAACCCGACUCCACGAAGCUGGAUUCGCUAGUAAUCGCGCAUCAGCCACGGCGCGGUGAAUACGUUCCCGGGCCU
This 1358-nucleotide ribosomal RNA is filed under the name uncultured bacterium. Its description in RNAcentral is "bacterial SSU rRNA". It matches the Rfam family "Bacterial small subunit ribosomal RNA", at positions 28 to 1381 of the family's 1533-position model. The record is from RNAcentral.